This is a non-coding RNA of Caenorhabditis elegans, 21 nucleotides long. Lineage: Eukaryota; Metazoa; Nematoda; Chromadorea; Rhabditida; Rhabditidae. The record is from Ensembl.
UGGUUCCUGCUAUUAGAACCC